RNAcentral lists this ribosomal RNA (468 nucleotides) under uncultured bacterium. RNAcentral describes it as "partial 16S ribosomal RNA". It matches the Rfam family "Bacterial small subunit ribosomal RNA", at positions 28 to 507 of the family's 1533-position model. The record is from RNAcentral.
GAUGAACGCUGACAGAAUGCUUAACACAUGCAAGUCAACUUGAAUUUGGGUUUUUUAACUUAGAUUUGGGUGGCGGACGGGUGAGUAACGCGUAAAGAACUUGCCUCACAGCUAGGGACAACAUUUGGAAACGAAUGCUAAUACCUGAUAUUAUGAUUAUAAGGCAUCUUAGAAUUAUGAAAGCUAUAUGCGCUGUGAGAGAGCUUUGCGUCCCAUUAGCUAGUUGGAGAGGUAACGGCUCACCAAGGCGAUGAUGGGUAGCCGGCCUGAGAGGGUGAACGGCCACAAGGGGACUGAGACACGGCCCUUACUCCUACGGGAGGCAGCAGUGGGGAAUAUUGGACAGUGGACCAAGAGUCUGAUCCAGCAAUUCUGUGUGCACGAUGACGUUUUUCGGAAUGUAAAGUGCUUUCAGUUGGGAAGAAAAAAAUGACGGUACCAACAGAAGAAGUGACGGCUAAAUACGUG